Zonotrichia albicollis (white-throated sparrow) is the source of this 517-nucleotide long non-coding RNA. RefSeq lists it as uncharacterized. The record is from RefSeq and is a predicted model, not a curated record. NCBI's taxonomy places the organism in Eukaryota, Metazoa, Chordata, Aves, Passeriformes, Passerellidae.
GUGCAAACAGCAUUUCUGACCUUCCCCUCACUGACCAACUCAGCAUUAUCAGCAAGCUCUGUCCUCUCCUGAUCCACCCAGCAAAAAAAGCAGUGGCAGACCUGAUCAGUCAAGAAAGUGGCUGCUUGUCCUUAAUAUCCACUUCACUCCAAACUUACUGAAGCACUGGAAACCUCAGAAGCAGCUAUUCCAGUUGCUCACAAUGUGCUCUUUGUUCCGUGCUUGGCUUAUCUUCGAGCACAAUGCAAUCUGAAGGAAGUACACCCACUCCCUGAUGUUUUCCUUGGGAGCCAGAAGUGUGUGUGCAGCGUUUUUUGGGGCAGUGAUUUUCUGCUACACACCUGUUACUACGGGACACGAAAUAAUACAGCAUGGACAUGCAGUUUUCUCAAGUUCGCUUUUAACGCCCAGCAACAGAGUGUGAGAGCUGCUGGUGCUCAGAGGCACAGAUUCCAUCUUAUCUGGGAGAAACAGCAGGAGGCAUCACACAAAAUUUUGAGUGUUAUGUGUCACUGGU